RNAcentral lists this ribosomal RNA (463 nucleotides) under uncultured bacterium. RNAcentral's name for it is "partial 16S ribosomal RNA". It matches the Rfam family "Bacterial small subunit ribosomal RNA", at positions 28 to 505 of the family's 1533-position model. The record is from RNAcentral.
GAUGAACGCUGGCGGCGUGCUUAACACAUGCAAGUCGUACGGUAAGGCCCUUUCGGGGGUACACGAGUGGCGAACGGGUGAGUAACACGUGAGUAACCUGCCCACAACUUUGGGAUAACGCUAGGAAACUGGUGCUAAUACUGGAUAUGUGCUCCUGCUGCAUGGUGGGGGUUGGAAAGCUCCGGCGGUUGUGGAUGGACUCGCGGCCUAUCAGCUUGUUGGUGGGGUAGUGGCCUACCAAGGCGGCGACGGGUAGCCGGCCUGAGAGGGUGACCGGCCACAUGGGGACGGAGAGACGGCCCAGACUCCUACGGGAGGCAGCAGUGGGGAAUAUUGCACAAUGGGCGCAAGCCUGAUGCAGCAACGCCGCGUGCGGGAUGACGGCCUUCGGGUUGUAAACCGCUUUCAGCAGGGACGAAGCUUUUUGUGACGGUACCUGCAGAAGAAGCACCGGCUAACUACG